ACCGGUAACAAUUCCCGCAGGGAUACACCCGUUCCCAUUCCGAACACGGCAGUUAAGCCUGCGCGGGCCGAUGGUACUAACGCCCAAUUCGGCGUUGGGAGAGUAGGUGUUGCCGAUC
RNAcentral lists this ribosomal RNA (118 nucleotides) under Elusimicrobiota bacterium. The record is from RNAcentral. Lineage: Bacteria; Pseudomonadati; Elusimicrobiota.